AUGUCGUGAUGAGGAUACUUUCUCAACAAUUCCUUAAACCUCUCUCAUGCGUCAUAUAAUGAUUCUACAUCAUCAUUUUGGAAGAAGUUAUUGAUCUCGCCUCUCAACCU
Molecule: small nucleolar RNA, 110 nt
Organism: Humulus lupulus (European hop)
Lineage: Eukaryota; Viridiplantae; Streptophyta; Magnoliopsida; Rosales; Cannabaceae
Source: RefSeq, a predicted model, not a curated record